Molecule: ribosomal RNA, 498 nt
Filed under: uncultured bacterium
Lineage: Bacteria
Description: partial 16S ribosomal RNA
Rfam family: Bacterial small subunit ribosomal RNA
Source: RNAcentral
GACGAACGCUGGCGGCGUGCCUAAUACAUGCAAGUCGAACGAGAGCGACCGGUGCUUGCACUGGUCAAUCUAGUGGCGAACGGGUGAGUAACACGUGGGUAACCUGCCCAUCAGAGGGGGAUAACAUCCGGAAACGGAUGCUAAAACCGCAUAGGUCUUCGAGCCGCAUGGCUUGAAGAGGAAAAGAGGCGCAAGCUUCUGCUGAUGGAUGGACCCGCGGUGCAUUAGCUAGUUGGUGAGGUAACGGCUCACCAAGGCCGUGAUGCAUAGCCGACCUGAGAGGGUGAUCGGCCACACUGGGACUGAGACACGGCCCAAACUCCUACGGGAGGCAGCAGUAGGGAAUCUUCCGCAAUGGACGCAAGUCUGACGGAGCAACGCCGCGUGAGUGAAGAAGGUUUUCGGAUCGUAAAACUCUGUUGUUAGAGAAGAACAAGUGCUAGAGUAACUGUUAGCGCCUUGACGGUAUCUAACCAGAAAGCCACGGCUAACUACGUG